AGAGUUUGAUCCUGGCUCAGAGUGAACGCUGGCGGCGUGCCUAAUACAUGCAAGUCGAACGAUGAAGCUUCUAGCUUGCUAGAAUGCUGAUUAGUGGCGCACGGGUGAGUAACGCAUAGGUUAUGUGCCUCUUAGUUUGGGAUAGCCAUUGGAAACGAUGAUUAAUACCAGAUACUCCCUACGGGGGAAAGAUUUAUCGCUAAGAGAUCAGCCUAUGUCCUAUCAGCUUGUUGGUAAGGUAAUGGCUUACCAAGGCUAUGACGGGUAUCCGGCCUGAGAGGGUGAACGGACACACUGGAACUGAGACACGGUCCAGACUCCUACGGGAGGCAGCAGUAGGGAAUAUUGCUCAAUGGGGGAAACCCUGAAGCAGCAACGCCGCGUGGAGGAUGAAGGUUUUAGGAUUGUAAACUCCUUUUGUUAGAGAAGAUAAUGACGGUAUCUAACGAAUAAGCACCGGCUAACUCCGUGCCAGCAGCCGCGGUAAUACGGAGGGUGCAAGCGUUACUCGGAAUCACUGGGCGUAAAGAGCGUGUAGGCGGGAUAGUCAGUCAGGUGUGAAAUCCUAUGGCUUAACCAUAGAACUGCAUUUGAAACUACUAUUCUAGAGUGUGGGAGAGGUAGGUGGAAUUCUUGGUGUAGGGGUAAAAUCCGUAGAGAUCAAGAGGAAUACUCAUUGCGAAGGCGACCUGCUGGAACAUUACUGACGCUGAUUGCGCGAAAGCGUGGGGAGCAAACAGGAUUAGAUACCCUGGUAGUCCACGCCCUAAACGAUGGAUGCUAGUUGUUGGAGGGCUUAGUCUCUCCAGUAAUGCAGCUAACGCAUUAAGCAUCCCGCCUGGGGAGUACGGUCGCAAGAUUAAAACUCAAAGGAAUAGACGGGGACCCGCACAAGCGGUGGAGCAUGUGGUUUAAUUCGAAGAUACACGAAGAACCUUACCUAGGCUUGACAUUGAGAGAAUCCGCUAGAAAUAGUGGAGUGUCUAGCUUGCUAGACCUUGAAAACAGGUGCUGCACGGCUGUCGUCAGCUCGUGUCGUGAGAUGUUGGGUUAAGUCCCGCAACGAGCGCAACCCCCUUUCUUAGUUGCUAACAGGUCAUGCUGAGAACUCUAAGGAUACUGCCUCCGUAAGGAGGAGGAAGGUGGGGACGACGUCAAGUCAUCAUGGCCCUUACGCCUAGGGCUACACACGUGCUACAAUGGGGUGCACAAAGAGAAGCAAUACUGCGAAGUGGAGCCAAUCUUCAAAACGCCUCUCAGUUCGGAUUGUAGGCUGCAACUCGCCUGCAUGAAGCUGGAAUCGCUAGUAAUCGCAAAUCAGCCAUGUUGCGGUGAAUACGUUCCCGGGUCUUGUACUCACCGCCCGUCACACCAUGGGAGUUGUGUUUGCCUUAAGUCAGGAUGCUAAAUUGGCUACUGCCCACGGCACACACAGCGACUGGGGUGAAGUCGUAACAAGGUAACCGUAGGUGAACCUGCGGUUGGAUCACCU
RNAcentral lists this ribosomal RNA (1492 nucleotides) under Helicobacter pylori P12. Its description in RNAcentral is "bacterial SSU rRNA". It matches the Rfam family "Bacterial small subunit ribosomal RNA". Lineage: Bacteria; Pseudomonadati; Campylobacterota; Epsilonproteobacteria; Campylobacterales; Helicobacteraceae. The record is from RNAcentral.